CGCAAUGGGCGAAAGCUGACGGAGCGACGCUGCGUGAAGGAUGACGGCCUGCGGGUUGUAAACUUCUUUUCUCGAAGAAGAAUAAAUGACGGUAUUCGAGGAAUAAGCAUCGGCUAACUCUGUGCCAGCAGCCGCGGUAAGACAGAGGAUGCAAGUGUUAUUCGGAUUGAUUGGGCGUAAAGCGUCUGUAGGCGGUUUGGAAAGUCUUUUGUGAAAUUCUUCAGCUCAACUGGGGGUCCGCAAAAGAAACUUCUAGGCUUGAGGGAAGUAGAGGUACAGGGAAUUUCCGGUGGAGCGGUGAAAUGCGUAGAUAUCGGAAGGAACACCAAUAUGGCGAAGGCACUGUACUGGGCUUUACCUGACGCUAAGAGACGAAAGCUAAAGGAGUGAUUAGGAUUAGAUACCCUAGUAAUUUUAGCCGUAAACGAUGGAAACUCACUGCCGAGCCGGUAUUCGGAGCGGUGGUCAAGCUAACGCGUGAAGUUUCCCGCCUGGGGACUACGCAUGCAAAUGUGAAACUCAAAGGAAUUGACGGGGACCGCACAAGCGGUGGAGUAUGUGGUUUAAUUCGAUGCAACGCGAAAAACCUUACCAAGGUUUGAAAUCAUUUCAAAACUCUUUGAAAGAAGAGCCUCUUCGGGAUGGAAUGACAGGUGGUGCAUGGCUGUCGUCAGCUCGUGUUGUGAAAUGUCAAGUUAAGUCUUGUAACGAGCGCAACCCAUGUCUUUUGUUGCUGUUUACAGUGCUUAAAAGAGACUGCGCUCUACAGCGGAGGAAGGUGUGGAUGAUGUCAAGUCA
RNAcentral lists this ribosomal RNA (798 nucleotides) under uncultured prasinophycean EBAC23. Its description in RNAcentral is "bacterial SSU rRNA". It matches the Rfam family "Bacterial small subunit ribosomal RNA", at positions 367 to 1192 of the family's 1533-position model. The record is from RNAcentral. Lineage: Eukaryota; Viridiplantae; Chlorophyta.